CCACUUAUUGGAUUGGUGGUGUAAGCGUGUAGGCCGUGUGGUAGGUAAAUCCGCCGCACAUAUGGUUGAGACGUGAUGCGUAGACCCAAUGGGGUUGAUGGUGGUGAUCCUGUACUGUCGAGAAAAGCCUCUAGCGAUGUGUGUGUAUGGCCCGUACCCUAAACCGACACAGGUAGUCAGGUUGAAAAUACUAAGGCGUUCGGGUGAACUGUGGUUAAGGAAUUCGGCAAAAUGCCCCCGUAACUUCGGGAGAAGGGGGGCCCCACGAUGUGAAGGUCCAUGCGGCUGGAAGCGUUGUGGGGUCGCAGAGAAUAGAGGGAAGCGACUGUUUAUCAAAAACACAGGUCCAUGCGAAGACGUGAAUUUGAUGUAUAUGGACUGACGCCUGCCCGGUGCUGGAAGGUUAAGAGGACCGGUUAGUCAACUUUGUUGGCGAAGCUGAGAAUUUAAGCCCCAGUAAACGGCGGUGGUAACUAUAACCAUCCUAAGGUAGCGAAAUUCCUUGUCGGGUAAGUUCCGACCUGCACGAAUGGAGUAACGAUUUCCCUACUGUCUCCACCAUGAACUCGGUGAAAUUGCACUACGAGUAAAGAUGCUCGUUACGCGCGGCAGGACGAAAAGACCCCGGGACCUUCACUAUAGCUUGGUAUUGGUGUUUGGUUCGGUUUGUGUAGGAUAGGUGGGAGACUUAGAAGCCGUCACGCUAGUGGUGGUGGAGUCGUUGUUGAAAUACCACUCUGAUCGGAUUGAGCAUCUAACCUUGGCCCAUGAUCUGGGUUGGGGACAGUGCCUGGUGGGUAGUUUAACUGGGGCGGUUGCCUCCCAAAAUGUAACGGAGGCGCCCAAAGGUUCCCUCAGCCUGGUUGGCAAUCAGGUGGUGAGUGUAAGUGCACAAGGGAGCUUGACUGUGAGACAGACAUGUCGAGCAGGGACGAAAGUCGGGACUAGUGAUCCGGCACCUACUUGUGGAUGUGGUGUCGCUCAACGGAUAAAAGGUACUCCGGGGAUAACAGGCUGAUCUUCCCCAAGAGUCCAUAUCGACGGGAUGGUUUGGCACCUCGAUGUCGGCUCGUCGCAUCCUGGGGCUGGAGUAGGUCCCAAGGGUU
RNAcentral lists this ribosomal RNA (1106 nucleotides) under human gut metagenome. Its description in RNAcentral is "bacterial LSU rRNA". It matches the Rfam family "Bacterial large subunit ribosomal RNA", at positions 1491 to 2573 of the family's 2925-position model. The record is from RNAcentral.